GUGGGGAAUAUUGGACAAUGGGCGAAAGCCUGAUCCAGCCAUGCCGCGUGUGUGAAGAAGGUCUUCGGAUUGUAAAGCUCUGUUAAUCGGGACGAAAGAGCCUAGUGUGAAUAAUGCUAGGAAGUGACGGUACCGGAAUAGAAAGCCACGGCUAACUACGUGCCAGCAGCCGCGGUAAUACGUAGGUGGCAAGCGUUGUCCGGAAUUAUUGGGCGUAAAGCGCGCGCAGGCGGAUCUGCCAGUCUGUCUUAAAAGUUCGGGGCUUAACCCCGUGAUGGGAUGGAAACUACAGAUCUAGAGUAUCGGAGAGGAAAGUGGAAUUCCUAGUGUAGCGGUGAAAUGCGUAGAUAUUAGGAAGAACACCAGUGGCGAAGGCGACUUUCUGGACGAAAACUGACGCUGAGGCGCGAAAGCCAGGGGAGCGAACGGGAUUAGAAACCCGAGUAGUCC
This 450-nucleotide ribosomal RNA is filed under the name uncultured bacterium. RNAcentral describes it as "partial 16S ribosomal RNA". It matches the Rfam family "Bacterial small subunit ribosomal RNA", at positions 354 to 796 of the family's 1533-position model. The record is from RNAcentral.